ACUCUCCUAGUACAAAAUAGUACCAGUGACUUCCAAUCACUAAAUUUUAGCUAUACCCUAAAGAAGAGUA
This 70-nucleotide transfer RNA is filed under the name Platysternon megacephalum (big-headed turtle). RNAcentral's name for it is "tRNA-Gly". The record is from RNAcentral. Lineage: Eukaryota; Metazoa; Chordata; Testudines; Platysternidae.